RNAcentral lists this long non-coding RNA (328 nucleotides) under Vitis vinifera (wine grape). RNAcentral's name for it is "long non-coding RNA (VVIN_LNC001048)". Lineage: Eukaryota; Viridiplantae; Streptophyta; Magnoliopsida; Vitales; Vitaceae. The record is from RNAcentral.
AAACGAGUAUGAGUGUGAUGCGUACCUGGAGUGCGAUAAACCCACGACGAAACCCUAAAAUUGUCGUCAAUGGAAGCUAGGACGACGAACAAGGGAAAAGGAGACAAGGGGGAGAGGAGAUGAAGUGGUUUGGAAGUGGAACCGACCGUUUGGAUGAUUUCGGAAUGAGCUCGAAAUAGAAAUUAGGUAUUUUGAAUUGGAUUUCGGUUAAGAAGAGUCAUUUCGAAAUUUAACUUUUGAAAUCGAAAAUAGCCUGAUUUCGAAUUCAUUAACUGAUGGUAAAAAAAUGCCUAAUUUAAAAUCUGACCAUUGAAUUCGAAAACUAUCU